Long non-coding RNA from Eucalyptus grandis, 705 nucleotides. RefSeq lists it as uncharacterized. The record is from RefSeq and is a predicted model, not a curated record. The transcript is spliced from 2 exons. Lineage: Eukaryota; Viridiplantae; Streptophyta; Magnoliopsida; Myrtales; Myrtaceae.
GCACAAGAACCGCGCAACCGACCAAAAUCCAUAUGUAGUUCUUUCUACCGAAAAAUUUAUAAAUUCGUGUGUUGCUGUUGCCAUCACACCACAGCAUAUUCCUCUGCGAUUUUGGCUCAACACCAUCACCGAGAGGCUCAAGGCUGGUCUCUGUGUUGCUGUCCAACUACCAACGAGAGCCGCCGUUAGCUGUGAAUAGUGUGACAUUGAUCAUAUGCAUUCACGACAUGAGAUUCCGCCACGAGCCUUUGGGGUCGAGCGAUGCUCCUUCGGGAAUGCCCCACGUCAACGGAUGCCGGUCGCAGUGGAGGCUGGAUUGAUGCUCCUAUAUGGAAUGCCGUCUAGAUGUAGACGAUGCCGCGCUCGACGGUGCGAGGCGAUGCCCGAUUAUGCCGAAAGACUGUUAUCUGAGCAUUGAAAUCAUUUCUGACACAUGAAAUACCUGGUUAUGCCGAAAAACUGUUAUCUAAGCAUUGAAAUCAUUUGUGACACAUGAAAUGCCGGGUUAUGCCAGAAGACUGUUAUCUGUACAUUGAAAUCAUUUGUGACACAUGAAUGGGUGAAAGUGAGGGACCUAAUUAAAAGACGGAACUAUGUGGUGCAGUAUGGGACGUGCCAUAACAGUUUAGUCUAGUAAUUGGGGGUCCAUGUAAUUAUGUGACAUUUAUGUCCUUAUAUAUGUAUGUGUUAAAAGUAUUCCGAUGA